GACGAACGCUGGCGGCGCGCCUAACACAUGCAAGUCGAACGAGAAUCACUUGAACAGAGGCUUCGGCCGACGGGAUGGUGAGGAAAGUGGCGAACGGGUGAGUAACGCGUGAGAAACCUGCCUUUCAGUGGGGGACAACAGUUGGAAACGACUGCUAAUACCGCAUGAUGUAUCGAGGGGGCAUCCCUUUGAUACCAAAGCUUUAUGUGCUGAAAGAUGGUCUCGCGUCUGAUUAGCUAGUUGGUGGGGUAACGGCCUACCAAGGCGACGAUCAGUAGCCGGCCUGAGAGGGUGAACGGCCACAUUGGGACUGAGACACGGCCCAAACUCCUACGGGAGGCAGCAGUGGGGAAUAUUGCGCAAUGGGGGCAACCCUGACGCAGCAACGCCGCGUGAAGGAAGAAGGUCUUCGGAUUGUAAACUUUUGUCUUCUGGGAAGAUAAUGACAGUACCAGGAGAGGAAGCUCCGGCUAACUACGUGCCAGCAGCCGCGGU
Molecule: ribosomal RNA, 495 nt
Filed under: uncultured bacterium
Lineage: Bacteria
Description: bacterial SSU rRNA
Rfam family: Bacterial small subunit ribosomal RNA
Source: RNAcentral